RNA transcript from Lathyrus oleraceus (garden pea), 1132 nucleotides. RefSeq lists it as uncharacterized. The record is from RefSeq and is a predicted model, not a curated record. The transcript has 6 exons. NCBI's taxonomy places the organism in Eukaryota, Viridiplantae, Streptophyta, Magnoliopsida, Fabales, Fabaceae.
UUUUCCCCUUUUCUUUUCUCCUCUUUAUGCAUACCAUUUCUUCCUCUCUCUCUCUCUUCUUCUUCCUUCUUCCUCUUUUACAAAUCGUAACAAUGAUCUUCCAAAAAAACAAAUCCAGAUCUGUUAUCUUUGUUUGAUUUAUUGCAUAUUUGGUGGUAGAAGUGAUUGUAGAUUUUUUGGUUUUGUAUAGAUUUGUAUAAAUAUGUCUCUAACAUUUUGAUUUUUAGAUUUUUUUGUUCUAUCUUCUUGUGUUGCUUCCUGCUCAGAUCUGCAUUGGUUUUUUAUUGUUGCUUCCUGCUCAGGUCUGGAGUUCGUCCUCACAUUGGAUAACACCAAUUGCCAUGACACUAUCAGCAAUCACGAUUUCGUCAUCGUCGAGUUUUACGCCUUAUGGGAUAUCAUGCUCUCUUUUGGCGACAGGUUGCUUGUGUUCUGCAUCUUGCAUAAGGUGUCUCAUCCUAUGCGAUACCAGACAUUAGCAUCUACUGAGUUUUUUGCUGGCACAAAUUUUCGAGCAAUCGAGGAAGAAGUCAGAAAAAGUUACCAUCGAUAUUCAAGUCACAAUGGGUUUUUCAAUUAGACAGGUUAUUUUACAAGAGAUUAAGAACUAUAAUGUAUCUUGGAUUGUACUUGAUAGACACCUUUGGCGGGACAUGAGAUUUCAUCUUACCAAGAUACCAUGUAAGGUAUAAGCGUAAAAGGAGAAUAUCGACAUCUCAUUACAUCUCAUAUUGGUCAAAAGCAAAACCAAUAUGGCUUUCUAUCAAAAUUUUCAGAUGCACCAAUCCUAUCUGUUGGAUAUGGAAUAAGGGUAGAGUUAUCUAUCAAAGAGUCAAAUAGGUUAAGCUAUUAUGAAAUAUAACUUGCAACAAAUGAUUUUUCAAAGGAUAACUUAAUAGGUGAAUGUGGAUAUUGUUGAAUUGUAAUUCCUUGUGUCGAAGCAGGUUGCUCGACAGAAGCAAGGAAGUGUCGAACCACCUAGUGUGUUGAGUAAUGUUAGCUAUUUUCGGCUUUUAUAAUUUUGGGCUUUAGUAGUUUUAGGCUUUGACUUAAGGUCCAAGUUAACCUAAAUCUAUAAAUAGAGGGAGUAACCCUUAUUUUUGUAAUAGAGGUGAAUAAAGUAUUCAUAACA